CAUGGGCAGGUUGAAGGUUGGGUAACACUAACUGGAGGACCGAACCGACUAAUGUUGAAAAAUUAGCGGAUGACUUGUGGCUGGGGGUGAAAGGCCAAUCAAACCGGGAGAUAGCUGGUUCUCCCCGAAAGCUAUUUAGGUAGCGCCUCGUGAAUUCAUCUCCGGGGGUAGAGCACUGUUUCGGCAAGGGGGUCAUCCCGACUUACCAACCCGAUGCAAACUGCGAAUACCGGAGAAUGUUAUCACGGGAGACACACGGCGGGUGCUAACGUCCGUCGUGAAGAGGGAAACAACCCAGACCGCCAGCUAAGGUCCCAAAGUCAUGGUUAAGUGGGAAACGAUGUGGGAAGGCCCAGACAGCCAGGAUGUUGGCUUAGAAGCAGCCAUCAUUUAAAGAAAGCGUAAUAGCUCACUGGUCGAGUCGGCCUGCGCGGAAGAUGUAACGGGGCUAAACCAUGCACCGAAGCUGCGGCAGCGACACUGUGUGUUGUUGGGUAGGGGAGCGU
This 506-nucleotide ribosomal RNA is filed under the name Escherichia coli. RNAcentral describes it as "partial 23S ribosomal RNA". It matches the Rfam family "Bacterial large subunit ribosomal RNA", at positions 735 to 1239 of the family's 2925-position model. The record is from RNAcentral. Lineage: Bacteria; Pseudomonadati; Pseudomonadota; Gammaproteobacteria; Enterobacterales; Enterobacteriaceae.